GAUGAACGCUGGCGGCGUGCUUAACACAUGCAAGUCGAACGGGAAACCUUUUAUUGAAGCUUCGGCAGAUUUAGUUGGUUUCUAGUGGCGGACGGGUGAGUAACGCGUGGGUAACCUGCCUUAUACAGGGGGAUAACAACCAGAAAUGGUUGCUAAUACCGCAUAAGCGCACAGGACCGCAUGGUCCGGUGUGAAAAACUCCGGUGGUAUAAGAUGGACCCGCGUUGGAUUAGCUAGUUGGCAGGGUAACGGCCUACCAAGGCGACGAUCCAUAGCCGGCCUGAGAGGGUGAACGGCCACAUUGGGACUGAGACACGGCCCAGACUCCUACGGGAGGCAGCAGUGGGGAAUAUUGCACAAUGGGGGAAACCCUGAUGCAGCGACGCCGCGUGAAGGAAGAAGUAUCUCGGUAUGUAAACUUCUAUCAGCAGGGAAGAUAGUGACGGUAC
RNAcentral lists this ribosomal RNA (449 nucleotides) under uncultured bacterium. RNAcentral describes it as "bacterial SSU rRNA". It matches the Rfam family "Bacterial small subunit ribosomal RNA", at positions 28 to 478 of the family's 1533-position model. The record is from RNAcentral.